Molecule: long non-coding RNA, 287 nt
Filed under: Elaeis guineensis (African oil palm)
Lineage: Eukaryota; Viridiplantae; Streptophyta; Magnoliopsida; Arecales; Arecaceae
Description: long non-coding RNA (EGUI_LNC058612)
Source: RNAcentral
UAGAGGUUGAAUGAUUUGUGCAGCUGUUUGACAUUAAGAAGAAUCUUAUACCAUACCUAUCAGUAGCAGUGAUCAUCGACUCAUACAAUGAUAAUGAGUUUUGAACUCAACCGAUUAGAUCUAAUGGUUAGAUCUGAUUUAGGACAUCGAUGUGAAUGAUAUAGUUUUUCUUUAUGUCAGAUUGUUGUAUGCAAAAAAUUUCAUAUCAUAGUUUCUUAAAAAAUAGUUUAGAUCUGAUCUAAAGUAUGUAUAAGAGAUUAAAAUAUUUAAUCUACUAUCUUUCACUA